AGUCUUGGCUUCUUCCUUUUCAUCAAUCAUUGCUAGGGUUCGCUGGAUUCUGAGCGAGGACAUGGUUCCACCACGUUGAAUGCGAUGGCGAGGUUCAUCAGUCCGACGAACUUCGCCACAACCUUAUCAGCCUGUGCCCAGUGCUCCCCAUAUGCAACCACGAGAUUUCAAAUCUCUCCCUCGAUAUUCCUUGCCAUGGCAAGUCCGAAGUCUGAUCGCGAGGAAUAUCGAGAGAGCUUCGAAAUCUUGCAGUUGCAGAUGGGGAGCACCGGACAUAGGGUUGUUGCGAAGUUUUCCGGACUGAUGAACCUUGCCGUCUCAUUCAACGUGGGUGGAAGCAUCGUCCUCACUCAGAAUCCGGCGUUCCACUGCCAGCAAGUCGCUGAAAUGAUCAUAUUGUGGAUUGUAGUGCUCUCUGUGGGAGCCGCGUUUCCCUGCACGCUGCCUAUAAGAAGAUUGCUGCUCUUGAUGCUGAUGCGAAAUCCCUCUUGUACGGAUUCGAUCAAUCGCAAGCGGAGCAAGCCUAAGUCGAAAUUUCUCCACCACAGGAGCCGCUGGCACAGGGGAGAGAGGGUCAGUGGCCCUGCUUCAAUCGGAUAAAAAGUUUUCUUCUCCAUCUAUUUGGCAUGGCGCAGGAGACAUGGUAGUGGGACACAGGUUCCGCUAAACCAGCUGCAGUUUCUUGGCGUUUAGUUUACUUAUCUCUUCAAGUUUGGAGGAAAACCGCAACUCCCACAGUUUGGUGAUCAUACUCGAUAUUGAACACGUUUUGUCAGAAUCAUCGUAAGUCAAUGCUUAAUUUCGCCGGUAUAUGCCUUUUCAUCUUGCAGCAAUAUUUGCAAGUCUGUGUUAUACGCAGCUUUGGUUAUGGAGAUAUGGUUGAAUUUUGAGAAAAUUCCCUUUGUGCUUGUUGAAAGCAAUUAUACGUGGAGAUCACCUGACUUUCUAGCUGAUGGAUAUCUAUGAUUCUUUAUUACUAUUGAGAAA
This is a non-coding RNA of Punica granatum (pomegranate), 987 nucleotides long. Lineage: Eukaryota; Viridiplantae; Streptophyta; Magnoliopsida; Myrtales; Lythraceae. The record is from RefSeq and is a predicted model, not a curated record.